RNAcentral lists this ribosomal RNA (362 nucleotides) under Salmonella enterica. Its description in RNAcentral is "partial 23S ribosomal RNA". It matches the Rfam family "Bacterial large subunit ribosomal RNA", at positions 161 to 561 of the family's 2925-position model. The record is from RNAcentral. RNAcentral also lists the same sequence under 1 other name. Lineage: Bacteria; Pseudomonadati; Pseudomonadota; Gammaproteobacteria; Enterobacterales; Enterobacteriaceae.
AAUCCAUAGGUUAAUGAGGCGAACCGGGGGAACUGAAACAUCUAAGUACCCCGAGGAAAAGAAAUCAACCGAGAUUCCCCCAGUAGCGGCGAGCGAACGGGGAGGAGCCCAGAGCCUGAAUCAGCAUGUGUGUUAGUGGAAGCGUCUGGAAAGUCGCGCGAUACAGGGUGACAGCCCCGUACACAAAAGCGCAUGUGUUGUGAGCUCGAUGAGUAGGGCGGGACACGUGGUAUCCUGUCUGAAUAUGGGGGGACCAUCCUCCAAGGCUAAAUACUCCUGACUGACCGAUAGUGAACCAGUACCGUGAGGGAAAGGCGAAAAGAACCCCGGCGAGGGGAGUGAAAAAGAACCUGAAACCGUGU